UCGUACGCUUCUUUUUCCACCGGAGGCUUGCUCCACCGGAAAAAGAAGAGUGGCGAACGGGUGAGUAACACGUGGGUAACCUGCCCAUCAGAAGGGGAUAACACUUGGAAACAGGUGCUAAUACCGUAUAACAAUCGAAACCGCAUGGUUUUGAUUUGAAAGGCGCUUUCGGGUGUCGCUGAUGGAUGGACCCGCGGUGCAUUAGCUAGUUGGUGAGGUAACGGCUCACCAAGGCCACGAUGCAUAGCCGACCUGAGAGGGUGAUCGGCCACAUUGGGACUGAGACACGGCCCAAACUCCUACGGGAGGCAGCAGUAGGGAAUCUUCGGCAAUGGACGAAAGUCUGACCGAGCAACGCCGCGUGAGUGAAGAAGGUUUUCGGAUCGUAAAACUCUGUUGUUAGAGAAGAACAAGGAUGAGAGUAACUGUUCAUCCCUUGACGGUAUCUAACCAGAAAGCCACGGCUAACUACGUGCCAGCAGCCGCGGUAAUACGUAGGUGGCAAGCGUUGUCCGGAUUUAUUGGGCGUAAAGCGAACGCAGGCGGUUUCUUAAGUCUGAUGUGAAAGCCCCCGGCUCAACCGGGGAGGGUCAUUGGAAACUGGGAGACUUGAGUGCAGAAGAGGAGAGUGGAAUUCCAUGUGUAGCGGUGAAAUGCGUAGAUAUAUGGAGGAACACCAGUGGCGAAGGCGGCUCUCUGGUCUGUAACUGACGCUGAGGCUCGAAAGCGUGGGGAGCAAACAGGAUUAGAUACCCUGGUAGUCCACGCCGUAAACGAUGAGUGCUAAGUGUUGGAGGGUUUCCGCCCUUCAGUGCUGCAGCUAACGCAUUAAGCACUCCGCCUGGGGAGUACGACCGCAAGGUUGAAACUCAAAGGAAUUGACGGGGGCCCGCACAAGCGGUGGAGCAUGUGGUUUAAUUCGAAGCAACGCGAAGAACCUUACCAGGUCUUGACAUCCUUUGACCACUCUAGAGAUAGAGCUUCCCCUUCGGGGGCAAAGUGACAGGUGGUGCAUGGUUGUCGUCAGCUCGUGUCGUGAGAUGUUGGGUUAAGUCCCGCAACGAGCGCAACCCUUAUUGUUAGUUGCCAUCAUUUAGUUGGGCACUCUAGCAAGACUGCCGGUGACAAACCGGAGGAAGGUGGGGAUGACGUCAAAUCAUCAUGCCCCUUAUGACCUGGGCUACACACGUGCUACAAUGGGAAGUACAACGAGUCGCGAAGUCGCGAGGCUAAGCUAAUCUCUUAAAGCUUCUCUCAGUUCGGAUUGUAGGCUGCAACUCGCCUA
RNAcentral lists this ribosomal RNA (1285 nucleotides) under Enterococcus durans. RNAcentral's name for it is "bacterial SSU rRNA". It matches the Rfam family "Bacterial small subunit ribosomal RNA", at positions 62 to 1318 of the family's 1533-position model. RNAcentral also lists the same sequence under 1 other name. The record is from RNAcentral. Lineage: Bacteria; Bacillati; Bacillota; Bacilli; Lactobacillales; Enterococcaceae.